UCGUAUGUUAAGGUCGAAUUGCACGC
Molecule: small RNA, 26 nt
Filed under: Bombyx mori (domestic silkworm)
Lineage: Eukaryota; Metazoa; Arthropoda; Insecta; Lepidoptera; Bombycidae
Description: ovarian small RNA-29195
Source: RNAcentral